Molecule: ribosomal RNA, 262 nt
Filed under: uncultured archaeon
Lineage: Archaea
Description: partial 16S ribosomal RNA
Rfam family: Archaeal small subunit ribosomal RNA
Source: RNAcentral
AGGGUGUAAACGCUGCAGACUUGGUGUUGGAAGCCCUUUGGGGGCAUUCAGUGCCGGAGAGAAGUUGUUAAGUCUGCUACUUGGGGAGUACGUCCGCAAGGAUGAAACUUAAAGGAAUUGGCGGGGGAGGCACCGCAACGGGAGGAGCGUGCGGUUUAAUUGGAUUCAACACCGUAAAACUCACCAGGGAAGACUGUUACAUGAAGGCCGAGAUGAAGACUCUGCUAGAUUUUCAGAGAGGUGGUGCAUGGCGUCAGUGACU